Molecule: long non-coding RNA, 4396 nt
Organism: Cyprinus carpio (common carp)
Lineage: Eukaryota; Metazoa; Chordata; Actinopteri; Cypriniformes; Cyprinidae
Exons: 2
Source: RefSeq, a predicted model, not a curated record
UUUGGAGCUGUAGGGUCAAAUUAUUUUUUAUGUACUUUAUUUACAUUUUAUUUACUUUAUAAUGCUGCUGUUUGCUGACAUUAUGUCUGUGGUCAAAAAUUAAAAUGUCUGAUGCCUUGGCGCAGUGCACACACGCAAAGCUGGGGAUAUGACGCAUUCGCACGGUUAAGGCUAGAAGAGAUACGUUUGGCUCUACUGGGCAUGCGCACAUAAAUACAGUGUAAUUUUUGUCAUACUGUACAACAUUAAUUAGUUCAUUAUUGUAAAGGGUAAGUUUAAGGCUGGGGUAGGUGUAGACAUUAAUAAAACACAAUCUAACAGGUAGAAAAUUAAAUUAUAGACAUCUAAAUUUUUCAGAAUGCAGCAAGUGCACCGCUAGUCAUGUGACAAGAAUCAACGAAUCAGCUUCAUCCUUUCCCGUAACAAAACUGAAAGCUAAGCCAAGAUGGAGAAACAGCUGAUCAUAGCUGUACAAGGAUAGCCAUUUUUUAAAUUAAUUUAUUAGCAGAGCUACUGCAAGGAAUUUUUAGUACUGGAAAUCCAUUUAUUCUUUGCUGAAACUUCUGCGUUUUCAUAGAGAGCAGGUCAUGGUUGCCUAGCAACGGCAGACGCCACGGGAGCGCAAGCAUAGAGCGCAGGCUACAGAGUGCUUUGGAAAAAAGGAGAAAGUGGCGCACCUAGCAUUUCCACACGUUUUUAGGCCCAACAUGCAAAUUAUUUUUGUUUUGAAGGAGAAUAAAAAAAAUUUGCUGGACUUGGUUGAGACCAAUGAGAACAUUUAGUGAAUCCAAUGACCAAGGAUACACUGGUGGGUGAGAAGGGAAACCUUGCACUCAAUCCUGAGUGAAUCAAUGGAGUAAUUUAAGUGAUAUGAUCAUAUUUGCACACCCUCAUGAGGAUCCUAGCAGCACAGUUCUGAAUGUACUGCAGCUUCUGGAGGCUUUUGCCAGGGAUCCCGUUGAGAAGCGCAUUGCAAUAGUCCAGCAUGGAGGAAACAAAAGCGUGGACAAGCUUUUCUGCAUCUGCAAGAGUGAGCAUGGGGCGAAGUUUGGCGAUGUUCCUCAGGUGGAAGAAAGAGGUCUUACACAGAUGUUUAAUGUGGUCCUCAAAGGUCAGAUGAGAGUCCAUUUUAACACCCAGGUUGGUGACUUAUGUUAAAAAGUGAAAUAUCCCUGCCAGAGAAGGUAAUGCUAUUUAUGACAGAUGUUCGGACCUGGUUUGGAGUGCCAAUUAGGAUGGCUUCAGUUUUGGAGCUGUUUAGCUGCAAGACAUUUUGCUUCAUCCACGCCUUUAUCUCCUCCAGGCAGGUGGUCAGAGUGGAAGAUGGCAGGGCAGCAGACGAGGUUGAGUUGUGUCAAAUGCUGAGCUCAAAUCCGGAAGGAUAAGGAGAGAUGGGGUGCCAGCAUCUUCCGUCAUCAGUAGGUCAUUUGUAACCCUGACCAGGGCAGUUUCUGUGCUGUGGCCGGAGUGAAAACCAGACUGGGAUUUCUCAAACAGUUUAUUUUGUUUCAAAUGGACCAGAAGCUGGCAGCUACUACUUUUUCCAACACUUUGGAAAGGAAUGGAAGGUUGGAGAUGGGCCUGUAGUUGUCAAGGAUUCUGGGUCUAAGGUGGGUUUUUUGAAAAGUCGUCUGAUGUCAGCAGUUUUCAAUGCAGAUGGAACAUGGCCAGCCUGGAGGGAGUUAUUGAUGACCUUGGUGAUCAGGGGAUUUAUAACACAGAGGUUAGAUUUUACCAAGGAUGUGGGAAAGGAGUCCAGGGCACAAGUGGAUGGUUUCAUCUUUCUAAUAAUGUUCUCAACCGCUUGCUGUGAGAUGUCAGAGAAACAGCAGAGAAGUUGGGAAAUCCCAGGCUGUGGGCCGACAGUAGGGACAGACAAGACAGGAGAGCUGUAUAGGAUGAAGCAGAAGUUAUCUAUUUUUUUUUUCCUAAAAAAGUGAUAAAGUUGUUACACCUCUCCUCUGUAGCUUCUGAAUAACAAUGAGUUUGUGGUUUAAGGAUGUAAUUUAUAGUAGAAAAUAGUUGCUUAGAGUUACCAGGACUGUUGUUAAUGAUAUUGGACCUCGCAUAGGCCUUCUGAUGCUCUCUGUAGGCUUGCCUGUGAACAGUAAGUCCUGAGGCCAUAAAGCGAGGCACAAGGACACGCCCUGCUGUCUUCAUCUUUCGCAGUUCGCAGGUGUACCAGGGAGCUGAGUGCGAAAAGGUGACAAUUCUAGUUCUGAUAAUAGCAUGGAAAUCUGCUCAGAGAUUGAUUGUAGAAAUCAACCGACUCAGUGGCUGAGGAAAAAUCAACAGAAGAGAGAUGCUGGAGGUCUAUAGAGGCUGAUCUUUUUCAGGUCCCUGAAACAGAUUUGACGCUUAUCUUUAGUGUAGGAAGUGGCAGCUUCAUUGAGAGGACCUUGUGGUCAGAUUCACCCAGUACAUACACCAGAAAGUUACUAAUAGGGGCUAAGUUUGAAAUGACCAGGUCCAGUAUGUGGCCCCUGAAAUGAGUGGGGACAUCAACAUGUUGUUGGAGGUUGAGACAGUCCAGUAGUGGCAGAAACUCAGCUGCAAAGUGGCAGGAGGGAAUGUCUUCAUGAAUAUAAAAAUCUCCAAGUAUUGUAAUGUUAGCAGAAAAUGUGCAGAGUGUUGUAAGUAGAUAGUGCAUCUCUGAUAAAAAACUUGAGUUUUGUUUAGGAGGCAGAUAGAUGAGAAGUAUUGUCAUGAGGAAAGGGGAUUUACACUUUAAUGCAAGGCAUUCAAAAGAACACAAUGCAGGCAGGGAGAGGGGGGACAAUUCCAAAUUCUGUCUGUGUGUUACAGUGACCAGUGCUGCAGGCUUUCUUAAGGUGGCUGUAACCAGGAGGACAUGUGUCAUUUAACGCUGAGUAGACCUCAGGCUGGUGCCAUGUUUCUAUAAUGCACAUAAAGUCUAAUCCAUUAUCCAUGACGUGGUCUUAUAUAAAAGAUGAUUUAUUUGAGAGGGAUUGUGUAUUAAAAAGUUAUAUUUUAAACGUUAAUAAGGUAAUGAAUCUCUGUAGAGGCCGUAGUAUACUGGAAUUUACACCACAUUUUCUGUCCUGCCUGCUGUGCAGGGAUCCUGUGUUACUAACAUCAAGAGCGACACUGUUCUGAUGACAUGGCAGAUGUGCGACAGUGGUCCAGAUGGAUGGAAUUUCUGAAGCAGAGCAGUCAUGCUGAUGAUAAACAAACUUAUGACGGGAACUUCUGUGAAUAUAACGUGGUCGUCACAGAAGUCCACAUUUUUUGACAACUGCCGUGCACGUUGGAAUGGUGCGGUUGUUGAGAGUCAGCAACUGUGGAAGGGAAUACUUGAGCUUCAUGCCAAUCGCCAAAAAAACUUGCAGUAGCAGCGCAACAAUCAACCGAUGUUGGAGGGGAUAACAGUAGGUGAGAAGAAAGCCUUCAGUUCAAUGAUAAUCCAUGCAAAAAAAAAAAAAAAAUUGUUAAAACAGAGAAAACGGCGAAAACAACAAAGUGCCAGCAUCCUCUAACUUCAAUUUAGAACAAUCCAUCCAAAAAAAAAAAAAAAGGUUAAAAAUUAUUAAAACUAUUAAAACAAAGAAAUUGUUACAACGGAGAAGCGGCGAACAACAAACGCCAGCAUCCUCUCCAUCCAAGGUAGCUGUUCGCAAUGCAGCCUGUCUGACAGAUAUUUCUGUCUAGAUGAAGGAUCAUCACCUUCAACUCAACCUUACUAAGACAGAACUCCUUGUGGUCUCAGCCAAUGCAGCACUUUAUCACAACCUCUCUAUACAGCUAGGUUUGUUAACCAUAACUCCUUCCAGAACAGCCAGGAACCUUGGAGUUGUGAUGGAUGAUCAGUUAAGCUUUGCACACUAUAUUGCUACAAUGGCCCGGUCCUGCAGGUUUGCCUUAUACAACAUAAGGAAGAUUAGACCCUUCCUAACAGAGCAGACCGCACAACUCCUUGUCCAAGCUCUUGUUCACUCCAGACUGGACUAUUGUAAUGCUCUCUUGGCAGGCCUUCCUACAUUUAUUAUCAGCCUCUGCAACUGAUCCAGAAUGCAGCAGGCAAAGUGGUCUUCAACUAUCCGAAGAAAGCUCACGUCACACGAGAGGUCUGCACGAUCUUUAAACUGAAGCCCGAAUCCAGCCUGUACUCGAGAUCGUCUGACCCGACCCGACCCGACCCAACCUGAGCGCCACAGUUAAAUUUAGAGCCCGAACCCAACCCAAACCCGAAUUUUUUUUUUUUUUUUUUUUUUUUACAAGGAAUAGCCAAUUUUUAAAAAAAUCUUGUAUUUCACGAUUGCAUGCAACGGUCAGUAAUCAAAUAAAUAUAAAGAAGCAGAUUCAUUAAGGCUCAGCCUGUUCACGAACCAAAAAAAAAAAAAAAAAAAAAAAACACUUACCAGUUAUGAGAGUUCAU